This 146-nucleotide unclassified non-coding RNA is filed under the name uncultured Lambertella. Its description in RNAcentral is "sequence contains ITS2". The record is from RNAcentral. Lineage: Eukaryota; Fungi; Ascomycota; Leotiomycetes; Helotiales; Rutstroemiaceae.
CAACCCUCAAGCUCUGCUUGGUAUUGGACUUUUGCCAGCGAUGGCAGGUCCUAAAAUCAGUGGCGGUGCCGUUGGGUCCUGAGCGUAGUAAUACUUCUCGCUACUGGAACCUCGCGUGCGUCUUGCCAUAACCCCCAAUUUUUUCA